This 485-nucleotide ribosomal RNA is filed under the name uncultured bacterium. RNAcentral's name for it is "partial 16S ribosomal RNA". It matches the Rfam family "Bacterial small subunit ribosomal RNA", at positions 899 to 1397 of the family's 1533-position model. The record is from RNAcentral.
ACUCAAAGGAAUUGACGGGGAUCCGCACAAGCAGUGGAUCAUGUGGUUUAAUUCGAUGCUACGCGAAGAACCUUACCGAGGCUUGACAUCCCGCGAAGGCGCCCGAAAGGGUGCUGUGCCUUCGGGAACGCGGUGACAGGUGCUGCAUGGCCGUCGUCAGCUCGUGUCGUGAGAUGUUGGGUUAAGUCCCGCAACGAGCGCAACCCUUGUCGUCUGUUGUAUUUUUCAGGCGAGACCGCCCGGGCCAACCGGGAGGAAGGUGGGGAUGACGUCAGGUCAGCAUGGCCCUUACGCCUCGGGCUACACACGUGAUACAAUGGCCGGUACAACGAGUCGCUAAACCGCGAGGUGGAGCUAAUCUCAUCAAAACCGGUCUCAGUUCGGAUUGCAGGCUGCAACUCGCCUGCAUGAAGCUGGAAUUGCUAGUAACCGUGGGUCAGCAUACCACGGUGAAUACGUUCCCGGAUCUUGUACACACCGCCCGU